AAGGUUGAUGAAGAAGACGUUGUUUCUCACAUCCUCGCUCUACUUGAUGUGGAGUUCGACCUAGUGGUCUCGUCCAUGUGCUCCAGGGUCGAGCAGGUCACGGUUAAGGACCUAUAUAUACAAGUGGUGAGCUUCGAGA
Molecule: small nucleolar RNA, 139 nt
Filed under: Triticum aestivum (bread wheat)
Lineage: Eukaryota; Viridiplantae; Streptophyta; Magnoliopsida; Poales; Poaceae
Description: Small nucleolar RNA Z247
Rfam family: Small nucleolar RNA Z247
About the family: Z247 is a member of the C/D class of snoRNA which contain the C (UGAUGA) and D (CUGA) box motifs. Most of the members of the box C/D family function in directing site-specific 2'-O-methylation of substrate RNAs.
Source: Rfam by way of RNAcentral